GAGGGAAACCGAGUCUUAAUUGGGCGUUAAGUUGCAGGGUAUAGACCCGAAACCCGGUGAUCUAGCCAUGGGCAGGUUGAAGGUUGGGUAACACUAACUGGAGGACCGAACCGACUAAUGUUGAAAAAUUAGCGGAUGACCUGUGGCUGGGGGUGAAAGGCCAAUCAAACCGGGAGAUAGCUGGUUCUCCCCGAAAGCUAUUUAGGUAGCGCCUCGUGAAUUCAUCUCCGGGGGUAGAGCACUGUUUCGGCUAGGGGGCCAUCCCGGCUUACCAACCCGAUGCAAACUGCGAAUACCGGAGAAUGUUAUCACGGGAGACACACGGCGGGUGCUAACGUCCGUCGUGAAGAGGGAAACAACCCAGACCGCCAGCUAAGGUCCCAAAGUCAUGGUUAAGUGGGAAACGAUGUGGGAAGGCCCAGACAGCCAGGAUGUUGGCUUAGAAGCAGCCAUCAUUUAAAGAAAGCGUAAUAGCUCACUGGUCGAGUCGGCCUGCGCGGAAGAUGUAACGGGGCUAAACCAUGCACCGAAGCUGCGGCAGCGACGCUUAUGCGU
Molecule: ribosomal RNA, 555 nt
Filed under: Salmonella enterica
Lineage: Bacteria; Pseudomonadati; Pseudomonadota; Gammaproteobacteria; Enterobacterales; Enterobacteriaceae
Description: partial 23S ribosomal RNA
Rfam family: Bacterial large subunit ribosomal RNA
Source: RNAcentral